Molecule: long non-coding RNA, 232 nt
Filed under: Elaeis guineensis (African oil palm)
Lineage: Eukaryota; Viridiplantae; Streptophyta; Magnoliopsida; Arecales; Arecaceae
Description: long non-coding RNA (EGUI_LNC081116)
Source: RNAcentral
UGGCAAAUUGUUCAAGCUUUCUAUGAAGAUUUAGGUGACCAAUAUAGACAGAUGGUAGAUGUAUCUUGUGGAGCUGUAUUCAUGAGUAAGAGUGAGGAUGAAGCUUAUACUUUGUUUGAAACUUUGAGUAAAAAUUUGAUCAACCAUUCUUCAUUAUCCUCUUACAAAAGAUCAAUCCCUCACCAAAAGUAGAUAGAAAUUUUUGAGAUCAAGCAAACAGACUCUAGUCCUA